This 129-nucleotide microRNA precursor is filed under the name Lucilia cuprina (Australian sheep blowfly). Its description in RNAcentral is "mir-274 microRNA precursor family". It matches the Rfam family "mir-274 microRNA precursor family". The record is from Rfam by way of RNAcentral. Lineage: Eukaryota; Metazoa; Arthropoda; Insecta; Diptera; Calliphoridae.
AAUGUUACAAUUUUAUUUUGUGACCGACACUAACGGGUAAAAUUAAACGGAUAAAUAUUUUCCUUUUUCUGAAUUUUUAUUUUCAAAAUUUACUCGUUUUUGCGAUCACAAAUUAUGAAAUUGUAAUUA